GAAGGGACUGAAGAUGUUUCUCUCUGUCUCUCUGCAUUUUUGUAUAUGUAGCUGGAAGAAACGAAGAACCUCAACAAUUUUUAUUUCUACUUUUGAUCAAGGAAAAGCGUAUUUAGAAGGUUCGCUAGAGAAAAAUUUAGCAGUUUGGAGGAUUGAGAUCCUUUGGCAGAGAUAUGGGAGUGUGAGCAGGAAAUAUUUUUUUAAAGGAAGAGCUGGUGUUUUAGGAUGUCAAAGGUACAAAUUAUGAUGGUGCCAUGGUUGACAGAAAUUUGCAAGAUCUCCGUAUCUACAUGAACUCUUUGCUCCUGACUAUUAGCUGACUGGUCCAGAAAUUCUUGAUCCAAGCUUGAUAUGUAAGCUUCUCUCUCCUGUGAAUAUGGCACUGAGAGACACAAGAUUAGAAGCCCUGGGUGCUGAUCAAACUCAUAGCAAGGAAGAGUGGUGGCUCAAGACUGCCUGCUCCUGAGACUUCUGAGAAGGGUGUCUCUCUGUCUGUGUGGAUGCCUGAUGCUUCUGGUAUUUCACAAAUCUUGAGCCUGGCCAGGAGUUUACUAACAGGCACCCCUGUGUCAUCUGAACAAGAUAAAUAUCCCGCAGUGGAAUCAGCCUUCCCAGGGACCUCCCUGGACUCUGAGAAGUGAUUAAAGGGACUGUGCGGCAGUCAUGGGGAUGCAAGCAGCUGUGGCCAUCAAACUGGUUCUAACAGACAGUAUGAGAUCUUCAUGAUUCUGGACCAUAAGGAUUCCAAAUAGGCUGUUCACUUAUGAGUAGGCCUGUAACACGGACGUGUGAGAAUAAACGCCAGAGAAAAAUUUUUGAGCAGCAGCUUGCUGAUGCAUGUGAUUGCCAGGCAUGGGGCUGGACCCCUGCCCAGGAGUGGCAAGGACAGGUACCCAGGCCACAUAUGACUGUUGUGCAGCUGAUGUACUUGGCUUGCUACCUACCACCGAUAGUGAUCAUUCUAAGAUGCAAAACAAUGAACACACUCAAGCUGAUUUUGGAUUUGACCAUACACAUUUCUCAGAAGAGGGAGCUUUCCUGGAGAAGGUGAAGAAAGAGAAGGAUAUUUGGCAGUGCUGAUUGGAUGGGAGAAGGACGACCUGUGAACUUUUCUUGUUAGGAAAGACUCGGGGACUGAGGUGACUGUCAGUCUCAGAACAGCCAUAUCUGAGACGAGGACCAAGGACCAAAGACCAAGUAGCUCUGUCUGAGACAAGGACAACCUCCAGAACAGAUUUCCACAUUGCUUUCUUUCUGUUUCCAUGACUUAGACAACAAUGGCAUCUGUGUGUACCUUCUUUCUGUGUGGAACUGCCAAUUCUUCUACAUGGAUUAAUCCCAAGGAGUAGUUUCUCUGCACAUUCUCCACCAGACAGUAGCUCUUCAUUAGGAUGCCUUGAUACUCUGAUGUGGUGCCACCACAUCCUCCCAAAGCAAGUCUCUUCCCUCUGGCAGCAGAGAAGCGGAUUUUCUGCUCAACCUGCUUUGAUCACCAAAUGAGUCAGGGAGAAGAACAUGGAUGGAAAUAUCCUCAGUCAAGAACUUCACAAGCACCAGUUGCUUUAACCAGGGGCUCUAGAAAUUUUCUAGAAUAAAUGCUUCUCAAUUUGUAGUCUGCUUUUUGGUCACUUCACAGAUCAUUGGUAUGGUUACUUGUGACAAUUUUGUCCUUUUUUUUUUUCUUUUGAGACAGAGUGUCACUCUGUCACCAGGCUAGAGUGCAGUGGCAUGAUCUUGGCUCACUGCAACCUCCGCCUCGUUGGUUCAAAUGAUUCUCCUACCUCAGCUUCCCGAGUAGUUGGGACUACAGGCAGGCACCACCACACCCAGCUAAUUUUUCUAUGUUUAGUAGAGACGGGGUUUCACCAUGUUGGUCAGGAUGGUCUCGAUCUCUUGACCUCGUGAUCCGCCUGCCUCGGCCUCCCAAAGAAUUUUGUCCUGUUUUAUACUUGCUUUAUGAAGAGAAGAUUUCUCUGACCUCAUGCUACCAUAGUUGGAAGUUUCCCCUAGAUCUGAAGAUAUAUUUUCAAUUUAUAAAUAUGUGCUUUUAAAGAUGUGCCUUCUACUUUCCUUCUUCUCUUUCUGCAUAUGAAUAUUUAUUUAAGAGUAUAAACAUAGUUUUUUAAAGAUCAUCUACGGUUUAUCUACUUUGUGCAUGAUCCACAGUGACUCCGUUCCUGAUAUUAUUGCCUAGUUAGGUCUCUUAACUCAGACAAAAGAAUUCUAACAAAAGUGCAUUACAGUUAAAGACAGGGAGUUUAAUAUGUAUAAAUUUAUGUGUGUCUAUAAUUUAAGAGCAAGUAAAAUUUAUUUGAUUUGUGUUAUCUGUUAUGUCAUAAUUCACCUUUUAACUGUCAGAAAACAGCUUUUUCUGCUUCACUUCUACCUGGAAAAGCGUUCUUGGGAAAGUGCACUUGGUGAGGGUACCUUAGGAAAAUUUGAUACCCAAAUAAAAUGUUUUUUAAGCACUGUACAAA
RNAcentral lists this long non-coding RNA (2477 nucleotides) under Homo sapiens (human). RNAcentral's name for it is "HSALNT0114135". Lineage: Eukaryota; Metazoa; Chordata; Mammalia; Primates; Hominidae. The record is from RNAcentral.